This 279-nucleotide long non-coding RNA is filed under the name Rattus norvegicus (Norway rat). RNAcentral's name for it is "long non-coding RNA NONRATT021561". The record is from RNAcentral. Lineage: Eukaryota; Metazoa; Chordata; Mammalia; Rodentia; Muridae.
GGAGAGAUUUCCUGGUUCAGAUGACACUCCUGGAGGACUGGAAGAGGAGGCCGCCCAAGAUGGAAGCCAGCUUUUCCAGGAGCUGAACACAGUGGAGGAUUCCUGGCCUUGGGACGUGAUCACCAUUUCUCCUACAGCAGAGGCUGCUUCACCUGUCAUGAAGGGAGAAUCCAAGGGGGUGCUUUCUUCCCAGGUGCAGCCUGAGUAUCCAGAUACUGUGCCUCCCAUGGGGAGCGAAGGGCUCCCAUCAUUGCAGCUGGAGCCUGAGCCUGAGCAGGG